This 993-nucleotide ribosomal RNA is filed under the name Triticum aestivum (bread wheat). Its description in RNAcentral is "partial small subunit ribosomal RNA". Lineage: Eukaryota; Viridiplantae; Streptophyta; Magnoliopsida; Poales; Poaceae. The record is from RNAcentral.
AUGGGGAGGUCGCCGUGCUGCUGCCGCGACGCCGGCGUGAAGAAAGGGCCGUGGACGGAGGAGGAGGACAAGGCGCUGAUGGAGCACAUCCAGAAGCGCGGCGGGAACGUCGGCAGCUGGCGCAGCCUGCCCAAGGCUGCCGGGCUGAAUCGCUGCGGCAAGAGCUGCCGCCUCCGGUGGACCAACUACCUCCGCCCCGACAUCAAGCGCGGCAAUUUCACCGACGACGAAGAGCGCCUGAUCAUCACCCUCCAUGCCAGCCUCGGGAACAAGUGGUCGACGAUCGCGACGCACCUCGAGGGCCGGACGGACAACGAGAUCAAGAACUACUGGAACACGCACAUCCGCAAGAAGCUCAUGCGCAUGGGCGUCGACCCAUUGACGCACCAGCAGCUGCCACCCGACCAGAGCAACCACCACCUCAACGCCACCUCCAUCGCCCACCUCAACGUCACCCACCAGCAGAUGCCGCCCGACCGAAACGGCGCCGCUGCCGCGCUCCUCCCCGGGGCGCUCCUCUGGGCGGUGGCAGCCGCGAGCCUCGGCGGCCUAGACACCGGCGCCCUCAUGCAGGCGCAGCUUCUGCAGCAGCUGCUCCAAGCCAUCGGCUCUAACAACAGCACCACCGGCCUCAUAGCUAACCUGGCUGCAGCAAACACAGUGCUCAACUCAAGCAGCAGUAUCGUUCGGAACCAGAUGAACUACCUGCAGCCGGGUUAUCUCUGCAACACCUCCAAUUUUGCAGAGCAGCACGUGGUGCAGCAGCAGCUGACCAACGAUACGUCUCCAGGGACGAGCUUCUUUGCAGCAGCUGAACUGGCUGAUCAGCUCUGCAACACUGCCGCUUCAUAUGAUGUUGCAUCCGCGGGUGACUGGUCACCGGCGCAAGAGUUUGGCGGCUUGCUGGAGCCCAUGAUGGAGCUGCCCGGGUUGUGCUCUCUCGAGGGUGGCUGUUUCUGGAAGGACAUAUUGGAAGACAGCUACCGUUUAUAG